RNAcentral lists this microRNA precursor (92 nucleotides) under Paramuricea clavata. The record is from RNAcentral. Lineage: Eukaryota; Metazoa; Cnidaria; Anthozoa; Malacalcyonacea; Plexauridae.
GAAAAAUUCCCGACUGCAUGCAAUACUGUAGUCUGUUUAAUAGUUUUUAAUCUAUUAAACAGACUACAGUAUUGCAUGCAGUCGGGAAUUUU